This 482-nucleotide ribosomal RNA is filed under the name uncultured marine eukaryote. RNAcentral's name for it is "bacterial SSU rRNA". It matches the Rfam family "Eukaryotic small subunit ribosomal RNA", at positions 612 to 1098 of the family's 1831-position model. The record is from RNAcentral.
GUUGCGGUUAAAAAGCUCGUAGUUGGAUUUCUGUUGAGGACAGCCGGUCCGUACUUUGUACGUGUAUCUGGUUUGGCCUUGGCAUCCUCAUAGAGUACGCCGCUGCGCUUGAUUGCGUGGCGCGGAAUCUAUGACUUUUACUUUGAGGAAAUUAGAGUGUUCACGGCAGGCUUUCGCCAUGAAUAUAUUAGCAUGGAAUAAUAAUAUAGGACCUUCGUUCUAUUUUGUUGGUUUCUAGAACUUAGGUAAUGAUUAAUAGGGACAAAUGGGGGCAUUCGUAUUAACGCGUCAGAGGUGGAAUUCUUGGAUUGCGUUACGACGAACUACUGCGAAAGCAUUUGCCAAAGAUGUUUUCAUUGAUCAAGAACGAAAGUAUGGGGAUCGAAGACGCUUAGAUACCGUCGUAGUCUAUACCAUAAACUAUGCCAACUAGAGAUUGGUGGGGUUCUCCUAUUUGGCUCUAUCAGCAUCUUAUGAGAAAU